GUCCAUUGGUCGGGGAGGGAGUCCGAAGGUCCACCUGGUGGAUACAAGGAUGUGACUGAAGGCCUGUCCCCUCGAGACAGGUGUACAGCAAACUGGGUACCAUGCAGAAGUCUUUGUGCCAGGAGAGAUGCAUUGUUUGCAGGAUCCAAGGCUGCUGCAGCUAAGCCCCCUCCAGUCAUUGUUAAAGACCUUUGUCCUUGACCAUAAAUCAAUGAAGAAGUAAUCAAGAAGCAAUGAAACCCUGAAAAAAAA
Molecule: long non-coding RNA, 252 nt
Organism: Pantherophis guttatus
Lineage: Eukaryota; Metazoa; Chordata; Lepidosauria; Squamata; Colubridae
Source: RefSeq, a predicted model, not a curated record